RNAcentral lists this long non-coding RNA (743 nucleotides) under Lepidothrix coronata (blue-crowned manakin). Its description in RNAcentral is "lncRNA (ENSLCOG00000006083.1)". Lineage: Eukaryota; Metazoa; Chordata; Aves; Passeriformes; Pipridae. The record is from RNAcentral.
CUCCAAGCACUGACUCCUAGCUGCUUAUGAAGUUCUCCUCUCACCUCCCCAGUGAUCGAUGACACAGAAGAGCGUGGGAUCUCAAACCCCUUUACCACAAAGCUGUCCCCAGAACUGCAGGCCCUGAAGGAACAGCAAGCCCAUUCCCUGGUCCCCAGGAGCAGCCAGUCCAGGAUCCUGAGAAAGGCCCAGCGGAAGAUGGUUGAAGAGGCACAGAAAAAGGGGCAACUGAAGGCAGGUGAUGCAUCUAUGAAGGACUCUGGCAAUGGACACCCCAGGCAUAGACCCAGAGCAGGUCCAGGCAAGGCAGCCCCUGAGGAGGGGGAGCCACUGGCUGCCUCCAAUGAGAAUAACUCUGGUCUCCUGCAAGGAAAGAGCAGUGUGGCAGAGUGGGAAUUGGAGGAGUCUCUUCCUGACCCAUGGUGAGAGAGGGCUGAGGCUGGGGCAGGAGGAAAAGGGGGAAGAAAGGUCUUUCACUGACUGUGUUGUUUCCUUGGCCAGCCAGCACAGCAUCUCUCGAGACUAUGAGCGGGAGUUUCCUGGAGCAGGUACCCCUUCGCAGCCUGAUGCUGGCAGGGCAGAGCCCUGGGGCAGGCGCAGCAUUGAGGCCGUGGACCUGGAGAGUGAGGAGCUGGAGAGCGAUGAGGAGUGGCAGCACCUGAUUGAGGCCACUGAGCCCUCGGCCAUGCAGCUGAGCACACGUCUGAGCCUCCUGAGGGACCCAGCCUUUCAGCACCGUGUCA